UCUGCCAAAUGAAUAAAUGUAAAUGUAAAUAUCCAAACCAAAAGCUACUUGCAGCCAGGUCCAUCUCUGUUUAUGGUCCCCCUGGAAACGUUUCCCUUGUUGUUUUCUUAUUUGCAGCGCGUUUCAUUAUUUGCUCGUGUUUUGCAGUGCAUUGAGCCGUCUCGGCCACCGUACUGACAGUGAUCCGCUCAUCUGAAGCCCAACCGCAUCACACUGCUAUUUAUCAACACAAGAAUAACAGUCACUUUCAAACAAAUGGUCUAGCAUCAAUAUGCAUAGAUCUUAACGUUGGCUGCUAAUUUUCUAAACUCAAAUUUCUCACCCAAACAAAAAUAUAAAUGAACAUACAUUAGUGCUAACUAACUGCGUCCGGAGGGUUCGAAGGAGGUCAAAGUUUGGCAUUUCCUGCACUUGGGCAUCCUCCGUUGCGGCAAGAGCAGCGAACCUGUUGACGGAUCUGAGACCGAGUGAUCAGCAUUCCGCUUGUUAGUAAGAAAAGGCUCAGCUUCAGAAGUAAACAGAAGAUCAGAGUGCACAGGCGGUUAUCAUGGGAGCCAUAGAUUCAGCGCUGGACACCAUUUCAGGAGAUUUCCUUGGAGGAACCCCAUUGGGUCAGAGCCUUCGGCACCCUCUGGGCAGAGCGGCACAUCCAGGAAGUCUCAAAAGAUCCCAGACAAACUUCUAAGGAACUGCAGGCCUCUUUAGCAUUAACUAAUGUCAGUGUUCAUGACUCAACAAUAAGAGAGACUGUGCAACAAUGGGCUUCAUGGAAGAGUAGCAAGACGGAAAUCACUGCUCACCAAGAAAAACAUCAAAGCUCAUCUCACAUUCACUAAAAAUCACCUGGAUGAUCCCCAAGAAUUUUGGGAUAAUAUUCUAUGGACAGAUAAGUCAAAAGUGGAACUUUUUAGAGGGUGCAAGUCUUCCUAUGUCUGGCGUAAAGGGAAUACAGCAUUCCAAUGUAAGAACGUGUCGGGAGAGUACCAGGCAUUUUAUGGUUCCUUGCCCUGGUCUGGGUUUUUAUGGUUCCCUUCAUUACUCAGGACCAGACCAAGAGCAUAUAAGUCAACAAAUACACACACAUAGCAGGCAAGAGGGCAAAUGGCCUAUCACCAUAAAUACCCCUAAAUCAGUGACCUCAGGUCACAUAGCUACUUAAGAUAAGCAGCCAUUGCUUUAAGAAUUGCAAGAAGUUACCUAGAACCCAAUCAGAUACUUUAAAAUCUCAAACUAAUGAUUGCCGGUUUGGAGUUACAUUUGAUUUUGCCAGAUAAAAGCGAAAGUAGGGCAUGGUACGCCUGCUUUGUGCAUUGGUAAGCAUUAAUCUGCCCCUCAGAUGUAGAAUCUUUGGUUAAACGGUGGCUACAGUCAUGUUUGGUUUAAUCUGAAAGAGGUUCAGGUGACAAAUCCUUAUGAUAUAAUAUUGAAGAACUCUGCCUUUUCAGCCAAUCUUAAAGCUACUUCUGAAAAGCAGUAACAUCCAGGUAGACCACAACAGCAGAGGGUUGCCCCCACCCCCCUUCUCCCCUUCCUGAACACAAUCAGCAUAUGUGUUUG
Molecule: long non-coding RNA, 1557 nt
Organism: Megalops cyprinoides (Indo-Pacific tarpon)
Lineage: Eukaryota; Metazoa; Chordata; Actinopteri; Elopiformes; Megalopidae
Exons: 4
Source: RefSeq, a predicted model, not a curated record